UACGGAAGGCAGCAGUGGGGAAUAUUGCACAAUGGGCGAAAGCCUGAUGCAGCUAUGCCGCGUGUAUGAAGAAGGCCUUAGAGUUGUAAAGUACUUUCAUCGGGGAGGAAAAACAAAACUAAUAAUUUUAUUUCUUGACGUUACCCGAAAAAGAAGCACCGGCUAACUCCGUGCCAGCAGCCGCGGUAAUACGGAGGGUGCUAGCGUUAAUCAGAAUUACUGGGCGUAAAGAGCACGUAGGUGGUUUUUUUAAGUCAGAUGUGAAAUCCCUGGGCUUAACCUAGGAACUGCAUUUUGAAACUGAAAUACUAGAGUAUCGUAGAGGGAGGUAGAAUUCUAGGUGUAGCGGUGAAAUGCGUAGAUAUCUGGAGGAAUACCUGUGGCGAAAGCGGCCUCCUAAACGAAUACUGACACUGAGGUGCGAAAGCGUGGGGAGCAAACAGGGAUUAGAUACC
RNAcentral lists this ribosomal RNA (455 nucleotides) under uncultured bacterium. RNAcentral describes it as "bacterial SSU rRNA". It matches the Rfam family "Bacterial small subunit ribosomal RNA", at positions 340 to 786 of the family's 1533-position model. The record is from RNAcentral.